Pelobates cultripes (western spadefoot toad) is the source of this 550-nucleotide non-coding RNA. The record is from the annotation of a GenBank genome assembly. NCBI's taxonomy places the organism in Eukaryota, Metazoa, Chordata, Amphibia, Anura, Pelobatidae.
UUUUUUAAUUGGGGUAGCCCCAAAAAUAUUGGGACAUAUAAAAAAAGAAAAAAAAGAAUAAGUGCACUUGAGUAUAACAAUGGCUGGGUGAGGCCGGUAUAAAUGUCUAUUCUGCACAAGGUACAGACAAGUCUGGUGGGAUCCAUGCCUGGUUCAUUUUAAUAAAGAUGAGCUUGUCCACGUUGGCCGUGGACAGGCGGCUGCGCUUGUCUGUGAUAACCUUGUGCGGAUCGCACGUCCCCGUGACGGCGACAACGCAUUCGGAUGUCUGCCCUAUCAACUUUCGUGCUAUUUUCCGCGACUACCAUGUUUAGGGUUCGAUUCCAGAGAGGGAACCUGAGAAACGGAUACCACAUGCAAAGAAGUCAGCAGGCGCGCAAAUUACCCACUCCCGACGCGGGGAGGUAAUGACGAUAAAUAACAAUACACGACUCUUUCGAGGCCCUGUAAUUGUAAUGAGUCCACUUUAAAUCCUUUAACAUGGAUCAAUUGGAGGGCAAGUCUGGUGCAGAGCGACUGACCCGUGCAUGCUGCAGCUGAAACUCCACUA